Molecule: RNA transcript, 4355 nt
Organism: Falco peregrinus (peregrine falcon)
Lineage: Eukaryota; Metazoa; Chordata; Aves; Falconiformes; Falconidae
Gene: NRG3
Gene name: neuregulin 3
Exons: 4
Source: RefSeq, a predicted model, not a curated record
GCCUGAAUGAGAGGCGGUGCAGCACUUUCACUAAACAAGCACCUUCUGAAGUGAUGAGCCUCUGAAACAUCAACUUCUUCUAUCCGCUCCUUUUACAAACACAUUAUGAUUUCCUACAUCUGCUGUUGGCCAUCCCAUGUCUGGAAAACCCAGACCAUUUAGGAAUUGAAUUCAUGGGUAGCAGUUGAAAGCUGAGCUGUGGAGACUGACCUCGUACAUGUGGUCCCAGCUGCAGAGUGAGAUCGUUGCUUUAACUGCCAUGUACAAGUUGAUGCAAAAGCCUGAGUGUGAUCUUUGGAAAUAAGUGUUCUGGGUAAAGAAUCAGUGCCAGAGACAAGGAGUCAUCAGUUUUACUCGUUUCUCACGUGGAGAAUGAGUUAAGCUGUGUUCAGGGAUGAAACGUGAAGAUGAGCGGGUAUUGAAUAAUCUGCUACAAUACAUGAACAAACAUGAAUAUUUCAGCAAUUCACCUAGUCUAACGAUCCAGAAUCUUUGUCUUUUUUUAUUCUGCAACAGUAAUUAUGAUGGAUACAGUUGAAAAUAAAAUGCCCCAAGAAAGUGCAACAGGCAAGUCACUAUAGUUUUUAUGGAAAUACAGUCAUUACAUGAAAUAGUCCUCAUCCUUAGGCUGCUUAGCAGUUAAACCAGUAUCAAUGGUGUAAACAAUUACGAUGUGAUAACCUGAAUCUCCCCAUGCGUGAACUGCAAAAAUAAUACAGCAGUUGCUAUAUUUAAUCGCUACUUUUAGCUUGCUGAUAUUUGGGCCUUACACAGGAAAUCAAUAUUGUUCCUUAUAACUAGUUAUCUUUUCUGGAAAAAUCAGAAGAAGCUUUACUGAAGCCAAUGGACUAUGAAUGAUAUUCACCUUGUAAGUGGUGAAUCAUUAAAUAACAUUUAAUUGAGCAGACCAAUAAAGUAGCUCAAGAAUGGGACCCUUUUAAAAUCUAUAUAUCACCUUGCAAUGACUACAAUGUGAAGUGUACUCGGUUUUCUGUACUUCGAGCAGUGGUUAAUAUUGGAGAAGAUGGUGCAUGCUUUAUUUUCACUGUGCUGAUUCAUAGUGCCUCCUCAUUGUGAUAAGACAGUUGUAUGCCUAAGACUCCGAGAACACAUGAUUCAGUUAACUAAAUUGACUCUGUGACCUUGUGUCAUGCACUGUGACAGAGGCAUUUUGAUUUUUCCAAACCAUAAAAUUUGUUGUUGCUAAUGGGCAGUAUCAGCAAGACUGCAAGAAUUUAGUAUUUUUCCUGUUUGCAAAGAAAUAAAAAGGUAAAGUUCAUUAGUUCCUGUACAGCUCACAAAAUGUGCAGCUGGUGAGCUGUCCUCUGAAACUCAAUGUCUUGUAGCAGCAAACAGACAAUGAAAAUAAAUAACUAGUGUUUGCAUGGAUGGUCCUAGCCUUAGUUACCGUUUAGCAGCUCUUAUCUGUUAUAAAACCCUGUAAUGCUUCUGUCCUCACUGGAAGAGAGAAUGAAUGUUCAAUUACUUGAGCAAAGAAAAGAAUGUAUGUAUUCUAACGUACCUGUGUUUAAAAAAGAAAGUUCAAUUUCCUCUGUAUUCCUUUUUUAAAGUAUAAAGCAGUAGAGCCUUCUCUGUCAAUAUGGCACAAUGACUGUUUUUAUGCGCCUGUUUACACAAAAUCUAUUAUUAGAGAUUCGGAUCACAAUCAUCCCCCAGUACUAUCAAAGCAUACCUGUAUAAUAAAUAUAUCUUUGUUAAUCGUAAGCAUUUAAAAUAUUUCAUCUGUAUUCCUUCAGUGAAUCCCUGAAGAACUAAGAGGGGGGUAUUCUGAUAGGAAUUGAUACUUGUAAUGUUUACUACUAUUGAUGUCAUCACUCCUUGAAUCCCUUUGGUCUUCAUCCUUCCCCAACUUUUCAUUACCACCUUCUGAUGUAACCUUUUCAAAUUUUGUAAAGGCUUUGCUCUUGGGACCUUGUCUUUCUUUCUGUGUUUUGAAAUACCUGUCCUUUUUAAGUAUGCUACAAAAUAACAAUAGUAUCCUGAGGCACGAAAUGGCUUUAGAUCUCCAGCAUUUUACAUGGGAUUCUUUUAGCUGGGAAGAAGUCAUUUAUCACUUCUAGAGAAAAGAGACAUGAGCACCAGAAGACAGAGUUUUAUAGAAACAGUUGAAGCCUAUGUGCUAUGAGAGUAAUGGAUGAAGGAGAGGUUCCUCAGGGGCUGGAGGAAGCUCUGCCAAUGGUUGUACCUGCUGAAGAAAACAUACCUCAUAAACAAAAGUCAGCAUGCACCUGGUGAACAUGUUGCAGGCUGCCUUACAACAACUUAGCGUCAACAGUUUGGGGGAUAUGGUUUGGGUUUGCUUUCGUGGGAGGGAGAGGUUUAUCCCUAGGUAUUUUGUGACCUAGCUACUGUCUUGGUUCCAUGCUACCAUCUUUACUUUUCUUGGUAUGUCAUUUUUGUGAAUUAACUGCAUUGGCUGUAUUGGCACUGAACUGGGUUGGAUUAACUUGCAUUCUUUUUAAAAGGCAAGACUAAGAUUUACCAUGUGGUUAACUAAUGUAUGCUGUUAAUUGCCUGUAGUGCUUUGUCAAAUUAGUAAUGCUGUGAACUGUGUGGAUGAAAUAGAUAAUAUUAAUGUAUGUAACUUGCUCUGGUGACCUUCCUCGGUGUUUACUUUCUUCUGCUUUCUCUAACUGAAGUUACUAACCAUUUGUGUUGAAACUUAAAGAAAGUAAAAAGGAAAAAAAAACAACAAAACCCAACAACAGACAGCACAGCAUGUUGACAUUUAGAAACCCAGAAUUGGUUCAGGUUUCUCUGUUUUGCUGGGAGCUGGGUUGGGAGGAGGUGCUGGUUGCAUUAAGCAGGCUAUCAGUCUGUAAAAGUGGGUGUAUGUCAUCAGUAAUGCUACAUAUAACCAUUAGUCUGUCACUUCCAAUGUGAAUGUGUACUGUGCAUCCUUAUGUGCUGAUCAGGUGGUAACGUCAAAGUCUUUUCUGUGGAUUAGAAGAGAGAAUUUGUGAAGCCUUAAAAGCGGAUAUUGUAUACAAGCCUCUGGGUAAGUUUCCAUUUAACUCCUAGUGCCAGGUACAAACCUCUUCUGCAUGGUGCUGGUUACAAGAACAUUCAUGCUGUAUUGUCACCUCAGGGAGAAAGGAUGCAUCCUUCGAGGCUGGUCUUCAACUGAGGACACAGCAUCCCCUCUGCACACAGAGGGGCUUUGCUGUAUUCUGUCUGUAUGUAUGCACAUAAUGUGUACAUUCUGGUCUGGGAUUAGGCAUGUGCCCUAGGUUCCUCUGUGGCUGGUGUAUCUCUGAGGUAAACACUUUUUAUCAUGAAAUACAGGUAACUGGAUAGCACCAACAUGGAACAGACAGCUGUCUAUAUAAAUACGGCCUUACAACCGGUCAGUCUUGUAACCUGCAUUGUGAAUGGGGUAUUUAGUUAAAUGCUCUGCUGGGUGUGAGGAACUGUUACAAAUGACACCACAAGGAUAUGCUAAUGCGAUUAGGUGACUUGCAUUGUUGAGACUUCACUCUUGGCCUUGUUUGGGCUCUGUUGCAGUUUAACCAGAUGCAAAAAUGUGUAGAUGGUGAUUUGUAUAUAUUGUACGCUACUGAAACAAGCCUAGGUGAACAAAAAAAAGCCAAGACCUGCAUGUCAAAGGUGAUGGUAGAGACAGCUGCUGGAAGACGUGCCAGGGAGACAUUGUAUUUCCAGUUGAGAGGGGACCUGGGAAGAGCUUCAUAGUAGUAAGUACAAUCCAGACAUACCCAUGAGAGCUUGGGAAUCCAUUAUUAGGCUACUAGGGUGAGGUUCUUUUUUCAGUAGAAGGUUGUUUUCUGUGUACUGAAGUUAUCUUGCCACAGGAGAAGCAGCUCCAAGUGCCCAAGAUGUGCCAUAUUUACAUAGUCAUGGUGAAUCAGUGUUACUUUGUCCUUUCCUACUUGGAGGUGUUAUGUAGGUGUCAAGUCUCAUUCAAUAAAUGAUGCAAGGAUUCAGCAAGCAGAAGGUAAGUAUCACAAUAAAUGUUCCAUGACAGUGGUGCGCUUGUAAUGUAUAUUAUGGUUGUAUAGAAAAAUUGAUGUUUCUGACAGUGAACUAAAUCUUUCUGUGUCCUCUAUGCCUAGAAUGAGUAGAGACAGUGUCCUGCCAGUAAUUGCUGGAAGCAGAGGAGAAGGAUGCUGUAGGAUAUUGGCAUGUGGAGAAGAGCAGAGAUAUUAUUCCUACUCGGGCUGAUUGUUUUUAAUAAAGUUAUUUUUAUGAUAAUUGAAAAUUGUUUCAUUUCCUGUCCCCAUUAACUUCAGUUUAUCCCCAUUUCAAAACUAACCUGUCUGUGCUGAAAAAUACUGUUUGUCCGGUUACCCAGGGUAUCUAUCAGUAUUUGCUUCUGA